GCCCGUUCCUCUCCCCGCCGCCGCACACGACGACAUCUCCUCUCCUCCCUUCCCUGCACACCGCUAUCGCCGCCUAUGCCUCUGCGCCCUUGUCCGUCUUGUGGCAGACCCCCACCACCGCUGACUGGAUCCCCGUCGCGCCCCAAUCGACGGCGCCGCGGCCGUAUUCUCGACAAUGAGCCUGGAUCCCGCCACAUCCAGGCCAUCCACCGUCCCAUCGUCAAUGCCUUCCCUCACCAAGCGCUUCCCCAUCUCUCCUCUGCAUUCUUGGUGGCGAAAGCCGGCCCCUCGGACUUUGGUUCUGGCUCUCUUCGAACGGAUCGGAUACAUGUGCGAUGAUUCCUGCGUGAGCGAUCUUAAACUAUGUUGCCUUUUUGAAAUGGAAUCCAGCAACUAGACGGCAGGAAUCAAGCAGCAGCUCACCUCCAUAGCCUACAGUGGCGGCAAGGUUUGCUGAUCCACUAAUAGACGGUCAAUACGCACAGAUAAUGCAAGACCUUGUGAAAGAGAGGUUGCCCAGGUUCACUCCUGAUCAAGCUAAAGUGGUCAAGGGCUCACCAGACUAUACCGGAGUCAAUCAAUAUAGAACUAACUUCACAAAGGAGCCGAAAUUGAUGCAGCAGGCGCUGACUAGCUACUCAGUCGAUUUGCGGGUUAUGUGAGUUUCCUGUCUUAAGCCGCAGGUUUUACAUCUAUAUAUAUAGCCAAAACUUUGCAGUUGAGCGAAAUGGCAAACCGAUUGGACCAAGGGUAUGAAGCUCUUAGCUGAAACCUUUCUCAACUUUACUUUCUCCGAGCAUAAGUUCAAAAUUAACAUGAAAACGGUACUGGAGCUCCAUAUCUCUUUGUUCUGUCUCAUGCCUCUAAAUCAUCUUGUCAUGCGUAUAUACUAAUGUCGUUGUCAUGUUGCCAGGAAUGGAACAACCAGGGAACCACAACUCAAUAGAGGAGGUGAGGCGAUUGGCAUGACAUGCGACCAGAUGGCCCUGCAACUUGGCCAAGCUGAUCUAGUGGCAGUUUACUGGGCCUCGGAGGGAAGCUGUCGGAGGCCGCCACUCCUCGUUGCUGAAGUCAAACACCAUUAUGUCGCGUGCGUACACCUCCUUGAACUUGGCACUGGCAUAAAGGGCCAGAAAGUUGGCGACCCCAUUGAUUACAGCGACGCCGUCGCUGUUGGGCACCACCUUUAAAGAAGCGCUCCCCGUAUCCCUCCAGCCACUGUCACUGAGGCCAAGGGUGAGGAUCUUGCAGAUCUCUGGCUCGUGGUACCUACCCGAAGUGUUCUGGCAGAGUCUGACAAAGCGCUCCCCGUAUCUGUAUGUUCUGGCUAAUCUCGAUUUAAUCUAGGUCAUCUAUGGAAUGGAACUGAAAAUCCGGAGUCAUUUGAAAUAACAGUUGAGGAACAAAAGAAGAUACUACUUGACAGGUCAGUCAGGCUCAACUGCGUGGAGUUCCCUUUUUCCUUUUUCCUGUUGUUAAAACUGAUGUUGACUAUUUUAUGGUUUUUUCUUGGUCAGUUUUGUAUUUGUUCAGUAAAGGAUGGGUCACAUAUCUAGAGAUAAUGUUGUGGAGCAACUUCUACUUUGCCGAGCAUGUUACAGAAACAUUUUUCUUAGUUGAAUUUAAAAUCAUUUUUUUAAUUUCCAUUUGAAUUAGUUGUACAACUGACAACUUGACUUUGCUUAUCUGAAGCCCUGCUAUGCACUCCAUAAUUAAUGGGUGUAUUAUCUAGAGGGCCAAUGGUCCUUUUUUUGCAAAUGGCACUUCUUUUGAAGUUUCCUCCAAUCAUCACACAUGUUCUGGUUGAUGCGCUCAUAUAUUUGCACAAAUUUGAACAUGUAUACAUCUAUUUCAUUUUUAAGUGAACCAUAUUUCUUUC
Triticum dicoccoides is the source of this 1879-nucleotide long non-coding RNA. RefSeq lists it as uncharacterized. The transcript is spliced from 2 exons. The record is from RefSeq and is a predicted model, not a curated record. Lineage: Eukaryota; Viridiplantae; Streptophyta; Magnoliopsida; Poales; Poaceae.